Molecule: long non-coding RNA, 1315 nt
Filed under: Equus caballus (horse)
Lineage: Eukaryota; Metazoa; Chordata; Mammalia; Perissodactyla; Equidae
Description: lncRNA (ENSECAG00000052190.1)
Source: RNAcentral
UGACAAGUGAGUGAGCAGCAGCAUACAGAGAGCAGGCGCAGGGUCUGAGGUGCUGGGGCAGCCACUAUAGUCGUAGAAACCCAAGCUCCUAAAGCAACUGUUUCUGUGGCAUGCCAUUAACACCUGGGAAGUGACAAGUUAAUAGGAAAGGUGCAUGCUCAAGGGAGAAUGUGAUGAUGGGGAACUACGGAACUGCAUGAACUAGUUGGAAUACUGCUGGGGAGCCCCCUGCCCUCAUCAGGCAGCUGGUUAUCACACUGGUGAUGCUUAAUCGGCACAGGAACCACCUUGAAGAAGCAAAGAGCAAGCUCACCCACCACACUUCCUUUUAGGAAAUGUUACCCUAAAACUGCCACUCUGGAGCAGGCAGAAAGGAGCGAGGAGGUCGCAAUGGUUGGACUCUGGAAGUGGACAAACCUAAGUUGGAAAUCCCAAUGCCCCACUGUUUCAGCAAGAUGUGAAAUUACUUGUAUUAGUAAGAAUUUAUUGGUUGCAUGUGAUAGACACACAAGUUAGCAUAAGUGAAAAGGGUCAAUUUAAUGUAAAGAUAUAGGGCUGCUCUUAAUACCGGAGGGCAGGAAGGUGUCCAGGUCUCAGGAAGGACCAGGACCAGGUGAGGAAACUGAGACACAGGGAAAUAAGAAACUUGCUCAGAUUCAGGCACCCUAAAUUUUGCGAAGGACACCAUUGCCCAGUUUGAUAUGAGACAUGAACAGCAGAGUACAACCAGGCGAAGACUAGGAGAACCUGGAACAUGCAAGAGGAAGAAUAAUUUAUUACAAACAAGAAUAAAGCAAGUAGCUGUCAGUAUUGGGCAUCUAGUCCGUGCUACAUACUUUAUAUCUGUGCUCACGUUUAAUCCUCACAAGAACUCUAUGUUGUAGGUUGUGUUAUCUCCAAUUUACCAACGAGGGAACUGAGAUCCAGUGAUCUCAAGUAAUGUGCCUUAAAGUUGCACAGCUGGUAAAUGACAAAUUUGGGACGCCACACACUUUGGAGUGACCCCAACGUCUGUUCUCUUUCCAUGUACAACCCUCUGCCUCUACACCCAUCUCUCUAAGUAAUACAUGUCCCAUUUAGAAAGAGCUACCUUGCACAGUGUUUAGCAUGGCAAGGCCAUGGAGAGGGCAGGAAUCGAGGGCACUGACCAAGGGCCACCUGACUGGAGGGCAGGGGUGUUUCCACACCCUGAGUGCUCUCAGCCUCUGGGACUGUGGCCCUGACUCCGCAUUUCUCCAUCCCACCGAGACCACCACCCCAUUCUUUAUGACCUCUAACGGGGCCUUAAGAUGCUGCUCACCAUGUCCACUGCGAG